UUGUUAAUGGUUUUGUCCAUUUCGCCCUGUAAUCUAUGGAGAUAAAUUUCUGGCAUGAAGCUGAUAACAAGCACAAUAGUUUUGAGAAAUUUUCAUUUUAUUUUUCUUAUUUUUUUAAGCAUCCUUCAAUCAAAUCCACUGCAGUAAAAACAUGAGAGAUGACACUUGAAAAAUCAUUCACAGAAAAAGUUUCACAAUGAAUUUUUUUUACUUUUAAUUUUCUCUCUCUCUUUCUCUCUGAGAGAUUUUUUGGCUAAAAGAUUAGAUUGCAUAAUAUUAACUGAUAUAUCAGAGCAGUGAGGUAAACAGCAUUUUUCUGUUAUUUGAUUAUAAGUUCUUUGAUCUUUUUGCCGAGAAAGAAAUUGGUUAUUAGUAAGUCAAAUACAAAAUCAAGUGGAAGUGUUCGGUAAAGGUUAAUUUGGUGCCAGGGCCAAACUGAGGACAUGAAGUAUAUGUGAUAGAACUUGACAAAUGUGAUCGUAAAGAAAUUCUAUAAAAAUUGAGGUUUUUAUGAAAAUUAUCAAAAAUGUGAUAUGUUUUAAAAUUACUUUAAUUCUUUAAGGGGGUAUUCCUUCGUUCAAUCAUCAGAAAUUAACAUGCAGAAUUUCUAUCAAUGAAAUCUAUGUCUGAACCUUCGUUCAAGCAUCAGAAAUUAACAUGCAGAAUUUCUAUCAAUGAAAUCUAUGUCUGAACGAUGAUUUUAGGCGUGUUUGUGCUUAUAUUACAUGUAAUGAAAUUAAUGCCGAAAUGUACAAGAAAAAGGUGUAUCAUAUACAAAUACUGUAUGUCUUUGCAGUAAUUAGUGAUACAUCGGGUCAAAUUAAGGAUUUUCAGGACUUAAUACAUGAAGAACUGUGGUUUAUCUUGAGAGUAAAACUGCCUUAUUAAUGUAAAGAUAAAUUUUACUACUUGGAAAAAAUACAUAUUUUCCAGUAAUUAUAAUUUUGAAGCCUAAACUUUAUUCAAAUGAAGGAAUGUCCCUUUAAAAAAAUAAAAUAAACACUACUAUCAAAACUUAAAGAAGAUAAAUUGCAUUGUAAUGUACAGUUCAAUCAUUGAUGUUAUUGAUGUUUAAAAAAUGUUGAUCUGAUCUGGUAUGAAGUUUUCCGGAUUAUCAGAACCGUUGACUUUGUAUGCGUCUAUAAAUGUAAAUUUGUAUAAAUGAAAUGUUUUCAUAGAUACCUUGCUGACUAGAUGUCAUAAUCCGUGAUCAUAAAGAGUACUUGUAUGUUGUUUUAUGUUAAGAAGUAGAUAAUCUGAUUUAAAUUUGUGAUCAUAUGUCGUUUAACUAUAUGUUUAAAUAUUCAUGAAUAUUAUGAACAUCUUAUAAUUUUUAUGAUCCUCGCCCCCCUUCCCUAUCCAAAUUAACUUUUUCUUUAAAUGUCUGGUCUAAUUAAGAAGUGAUGUUUCAAGGUGCAGAUUUGCUUACAUACAGAUAUUCCUUGUUUAGUAUAGUUUUGACAGGUGAAUGAUACAGGCCCUCUGGGCCUCUUGUUAACUAGAGCUUUGACAUCAGCUUUGGAACAUUGAUAAAAGUUUUUUUUUUUUUUUAAAUCUACUCUAAUACUCGAAUAAUUUUAGUUUGAUCAAAUCAAUUGAAUUCAUUGCUUUGAAAAACCACUGCAAAUAUUUAAAUUUUAGAAAUUUUGAUUGAGAAAUUUUAAUAAGUUGAAAAAAAGACAGAUCAUGUGUAUCAUAGUUUUUGUGAAAAUGAACAAUUUGUUUUUCUGAAAGAUUAAUAAUGAUAGUAUUCAUUUAAAUGUGAAAAAUUGUCAAUAACUAAUAUUUUAAUGGCCAUACUUAAUUAUGAUCAUAAUGUGUUUAGAAGAUGAUUUACGUAUUGUUUUACAUGAUUUCUCACCUCAUCAUCUGUAAAUAGCUAUUUUUGUUUUACUUUGAUUCAUAUUGAUGUUGAUAUAUUUUCACUUGUUAACGUUGAAUUCCACAUCAUUUUCAUAUUAAGUUUGUUGUUUGUAUCUUUCUCAAAGUUGUUUUUUUUCUGUUGAAAAGUAACUUGAAAUACAUUUUUCUAGUGCAUUAUUGUAUUAAAGACAAAACAUUAACAUUUUCCAUUGAAAUUUAUGAUCAGCUGAUCAGAAAGGAGGCUGACAGGUUUACUGUUCUUUUGUCAAACCUCGUUGGAGAGAUCUAGAUUUGCCAUUUAAAAUAUUGUUAGCACAAAGACUUGGCACACAAAUUUCCAACCCCAAGAACUAUAUUUGACAUUUGAUUGAAGUAAAGUAAAAUUUUCCCUGAAAUUUGAAGGGAAACACAUGUUAAAUUGAACAGUACUGUAAUCAAUAACAUCCACAAUUAUUUUUAAGAGUCAAAAAUGUACUUUCUGAAAUAUUUUUUCAUUGGUACCUGAUGACCAGGUUCUAAUCAUUUGGUUUGGUUUGUGAGGUUGAGAUUUUAUGCUGAGUCUCUGUAUACAUGUUGCAGGGCCUGAUUUCGCUGCAAUUACGUAGCUCUGGACGAAAUGUUCUAUGCCCUAAGGUCAGAUUAAGUUUGUAACUGAACUACUUUGGUACAAUCUGUUGUAUAUUUUCGUUGUUUAAGUUUUGCUGUUUAUACAUGUAUACUGUAGAAUUACCAGAGAGGAUUUGUAACCAUAUAAAUAUGAUCAUGGCUGUUGCUAGGUAAGCCAGGACAGCUGAUGUUUGUUGUAACCAUGGACAUGUGACUGUUGCUAGGUAAGAAAGGAUAGCUGAUGUUUGUUGUUACCAUGGAAAUAUGACUUGCUAGGUAAGCCAGGAAAGCAGAUGUUUUGUGUUACCAUGGAAAUAUGACUGUUGCUAGGGAAGCCGAAAUCUGAUGUUUGUUGUUACCAUGGAAAUAUGACUGUUGCUAGGGAAGCCUGGAAAGCUUAUGUUUAUUGUUAUAAAUAGAUUUUUGCAUAAUGUUCCUUAAAAGUGAUAAAAGAGUUUUGUCUGAAGAUCCGUGCCUUUGUGUGUUAGAAGUGAUAGCCAGGACUUCAUUGUAUAUGUGCAUAUAUAUGUUUAUGAUUGUUUUACGAAAGAAAUAUAUUUUUACAAAUGUCAUCACCUUA
Pecten maximus is the source of this 3049-nucleotide long non-coding RNA. RefSeq lists it as uncharacterized. The transcript has 2 exons. The record is from RefSeq and is a predicted model, not a curated record. NCBI's taxonomy places the organism in Eukaryota, Metazoa, Mollusca, Bivalvia, Pectinida, Pectinidae.